CCGGGACAGCUGGCCUCCCGAGGGGCCGCUCGGAACACUCGAGGCGUGUGCCAGGCGUGGCCGCAGCCUCCCACACGACUGGAGAAGCACACGGACUCAGGCUGACCGCCUGCGCCCGGACCCCUCACUCUGGGAACCUGUCACCGGCUACGCAUCACCUGCUGUAUGGGACUGCGGAGCCACCCCUGGAAAGGCAGGGAUGCGGGGAGCAGACCACGGCCCAGCCCCCGCAGGCCCCUGCUGCCCGGAGGCAGGAGAGGCUCACUGCGUCGUGAGUCACGUCUCUGAGCCCGAAGCGAGUGUUACCGAGAGGCCUCGUGCUGCUGCUCCAGGCCAGGCUUCGGCUCCUGGAAGAUGAGGAAACAGGUCGACGGAGCAGCAGAGGUCGAUCCAGGUCUCUCCGCUGGGCCGCCCGCGGCUGGGAACU
Canis lupus familiaris (dog) is the source of this 427-nucleotide long non-coding RNA. RefSeq lists it as uncharacterized. NCBI's taxonomy places the organism in Eukaryota, Metazoa, Chordata, Mammalia, Carnivora, Canidae. The transcript is spliced from 3 exons. The record is from RefSeq and is a predicted model, not a curated record.